RNAcentral lists this ribosomal RNA (254 nucleotides) under uncultured bacterium. RNAcentral describes it as "partial 16S ribosomal RNA". It matches the Rfam family "Bacterial small subunit ribosomal RNA", at positions 524 to 776 of the family's 1533-position model. The record is from RNAcentral.
UACGAAGGGGGCUAGCGUUGCUCGGAAUCACUGGGCGUAAAGGGCGCGUAGGCGGCCAGUGCAAGUCAGUUGUGAAAUCUCCGAGCUUAACUCGGAAAGGUCAACUGAUACUGCUCGGCUAGAGUGCGGAAGGGGCAACUGGAAUUCUUGGUGUAGCGGUGAAAUGCGUAGAUAUCAAGAGGAACACCUGCGGCGAAGGCGGGUUGCUGGGCCGACACUGACGCUGAUGCGCGAAAGCUAGGGGAGCGAACGGG